This 225-nucleotide long non-coding RNA is filed under the name Elaeis guineensis (African oil palm). Its description in RNAcentral is "long non-coding RNA (EGUI_LNC076143)". Lineage: Eukaryota; Viridiplantae; Streptophyta; Magnoliopsida; Arecales; Arecaceae. The record is from RNAcentral.
CUAGCUUUUUUUUUCCAAAUUUGAGAUGAGCAAGUUUAGGAAGGUCUUCCUUCUCCCUAAUCGGAUCAAUAUUCUUGGGGAUAGUUUUAGUUUCUACUAAUUUACUUUCUUGCAUGCUGCAGUACUAAAGAAAACAUAAGACUAAUGCUAGCAGAUGGGAAUUAAGUAGAUGAGAGACUAAUGAGAAGCGAUGGUCUCCGAUUGUCCUAUCAGCAACUUUGUGAC